Molecule: ribosomal RNA, 433 nt
Filed under: uncultured bacterium
Lineage: Bacteria
Description: bacterial SSU rRNA
Rfam family: Bacterial small subunit ribosomal RNA
Source: RNAcentral
AACGAACGCUGGCGGCAGGCCUAACACAUGCAAGUCGAGCGAACCCUUCGGGGUUAGCGGCGGACGGGUUAGUAACGCGUGGGAAUAUACCCUUUGGUACGGAAUAGCCUCGGGAAACUGAGAGUAAUACCGUGUGUGCCCUUCGGGGGAAAGAUUUAUCGCCAAAGGAUUAGCCCGCGUUGGAUUAGAUAGUUGGUGGGGUAAUGGCCUACCAAGUCUACGAUCCAUAGCUGGUUUGAGAGGAUGAUCAGCAACACUGGGACUGAGACACGGCCCAGACUCCUACGGGAGGCAGCAGUGGGGAAUCUUAGACAAUGGGCGCAAGCCUGAUCUAGCCAUGCCGCGUGGACGAUGAAGGCCUUAGGGUUGUAAAGUCCUUUCAGAUGGGAAGAUAAUGACGGUACCAUCAGAAGAAGCCCCGGCUAACUCCGUG